RNAcentral lists this ribosomal RNA (360 nucleotides) under uncultured bacterium. RNAcentral's name for it is "bacterial SSU rRNA". It matches the Rfam family "Bacterial small subunit ribosomal RNA", at positions 149 to 507 of the family's 1533-position model. The record is from RNAcentral.
UCGAGAAAUCGGCGCUAAUACCUCAUAAUGCAGCGGAUUCCGCAUGGAUAUGUUGUUAAAGGUUUAUCGCCUUGGGAUAGGCUUGCGUCUGAUUAGCUAGUUGGUGUGGUAACGGCACACCAAGGCUACGAUCAGUAACUGGUCUGAGAGGAUGAUCAGUCACACUGGAACUGAGACACGGUCCAGACUCCUACGGGAGGCAGCAGUGAGGAAUAUUGGGCAAUGCUCGAAAGAGUGACCCAGCAACGCCGCGUGGAGGAUGAAGGUAUUCUAUAUCGUAAACUCCUGUGAGAGCAGACGAAAGACAGAUUAUUAAUCUGGAUGACUGUAUGCUCAGAGGAAGCCCCGGCUAACUACGUG